RNAcentral lists this small RNA (157 nucleotides) under Arabidopsis thaliana (thale cress). RNAcentral describes it as "ATSL223770". The record is from RNAcentral. Lineage: Eukaryota; Viridiplantae; Streptophyta; Magnoliopsida; Brassicales; Brassicaceae.
AUAUAGAUAUAUAGUUGAUACAUUUAUACAAUUAUUAAUUUAUGAUAUUGAUGGGACCAUAUAUUUACAUAAGACUUUUAAAAAAUUAUUAUCUUAUUAAUUUAUCGAUUUAUGUCACUUUUUAUAUUGAUCCUGGACCAGAAAUAUUUAUUAAUUU